Molecule: non-coding RNA, 356 nt
Organism: Paramuricea clavata
Lineage: Eukaryota; Metazoa; Cnidaria; Anthozoa; Malacalcyonacea; Plexauridae
Source: the annotation of a GenBank genome assembly
GGGCAAACCAUAGAUAUCUUAUAUACACUAGAUAGCGCAUCUCUUUUAGUAAAAUUGAAGCCAACAAUAUUCCAGCGGUUACCCCCAUUUGAAUAGAUGGCGGCCAUGUUGGUCGUUCCCACUUGCUAAUAAACGCUUAAAAACAACAAUAAUUUUCAUCAUUUGAAUAUUUUAAAAACGAAUUUGGAAUAGGGUUAACUUAAUGUUUAAGUUCCCUGUUUAAGAAAUAGAAAAUAUACGAAUCUUCUAAUUUCAUGGGAACGACCUGAGACUGCAAUCACGGCUUCAAUUUUUGAACUUCAGAAUAAUUAGAUGCACUAUCUAGUGUAUAUAAGAUAUCUAUGGGCCAAACUCAU